GGCGACAUAGCUCAGUAGGUAGAGCAAACGGCUCAUAUCCGUUCGGUCAUAGGUUCGAUCCCUAUUGUCGCUA
Molecule: transfer RNA, 73 nt
Filed under: Treponema sp.
Lineage: Bacteria; Pseudomonadati; Spirochaetota; Spirochaetia; Treponematales; Treponemataceae
Also listed under: 4 other names
Description: tRNA-Met
Rfam family: tRNA
About the family: Transfer RNA (tRNA) molecules are approximately 80 nucleotides in length. Their secondary structure includes four short double-helical elements and three loops (D, anti-codon, and T loops).
Source: RNAcentral